RNAcentral lists this ribosomal RNA (471 nucleotides) under uncultured bacterium. RNAcentral's name for it is "bacterial SSU rRNA". It matches the Rfam family "Bacterial small subunit ribosomal RNA", at positions 355 to 825 of the family's 1533-position model. The record is from RNAcentral.
UGGGGAAUUUUGGACAAUGGGGGCAACCCUGAUCCAGCCAUGCCGCGUGAGUGAAGAAGGCCUUCGGGUUGUAAAGCUCUUUCGGACGGAACGAAAUGGUCAGGGUGAAUAUCCCUGACUGAUGACGGUACUGUAAGAAGAAGCACCGGCUAACUCCGUGCCAGCAGCCGCGGUAAUACGGAGGGUGCUAGCGUUGUCCGGAUUUAUUGGGCGUAAAGCGUUUGUAGGCGGUUAUGUAAGUCUGAAGUGAAAUAAUGGAGCUCAACUCCAUCCUCGCUUUGGAAACUGCAUGACUAGAGAGUGAUAGGGGUAAGUGGAAUUUCCAGUGUAGCGGUGAAAUGCGUAGAUAUUGGAAAGACACCAGAGGCGAAGGCGGCUUACUGGGUCACAUCUGACGCUGAGAAACGAAAGCUAGGGGAGCGAAAGGGAUUAGAUACCCCAGUAGUCCCUGAGCGGGCUGGCAAGGCGCAU